RNAcentral lists this ribosomal RNA (1621 nucleotides) under Granulicatella sp. oral clone ASCA05. RNAcentral's name for it is "bacterial SSU rRNA". It matches the Rfam family "Bacterial small subunit ribosomal RNA". Lineage: Bacteria; Bacillati; Bacillota; Bacilli; Lactobacillales; Carnobacteriaceae. The record is from RNAcentral.
AGUUUUGAUUNUUGGCCCCAGAAAUUUAACGCUUGGCGGCGUGCCUAAUACAUGCAAGUCGAACGAGAGCGACCGGUGCUUGCACUGGUCAAUCUAGUGUGCGAACGGGUGAGUAACACGUGGGUAACCUGCCCAUCAGAGGGGGAUAACAUUCGGAAACGGAUGCUAAAACCGCAUAGGUUCUUUAGCUCGCAUGACUGAAGAAGGAAAAGAGGCUUCGGCUUCUGCUGAUGGAUGGNUCCGCGGUGCAUUAGCUAGUUGNNGAGGUAACGGCUCACCAAGGCGAUGAUGCAUAGCCGACCUGAGAGGGUGAUCGGCCACAUUGGGACUGAGACACGGCCCCAAACUCCUACGGGAGGCAGCAGUAGGGAAUCUUCCGCAAUGGACGCAAGUCUGACGGAGCCCGCCGUUUUGAGUGAAGAAGGAUUUCGGUUCGUAAAACUCUGUUGUUAGAGACCAACAGACGUAUAGAGUAACUGUNAUGCGUGUGACGGUAUCUAACCAGAAAGCCACGGCUAACUACGCGCCAGCAGCCGCGGUAAUACGUAGGUGGCAAGCGUNGUCCGGAUUUAUUGGGCGUAAAGCGAGCGCAGGCGGUCAAUUAAGUCUGAUGUGAAAGCCCCCGGNCUCAACCGGGGAGGGUCAUUGGAAACUGGUUGACUUGAGUGCAGAAGAGGAGAGUGGAAUUCCAUGUGUAGCCGGUGAAAUGCGUAGAUAUAUGGAGGAACACCAGUUGGCGAAGGCGACCUCUCUGGCUCUGUAACCUGACGCUGAGGCUCGAAAGCGUGGGUAGCAAACAGGAUUAGAUACCCCUGGUAGUCCACGCCGUAAACGAUGAGUGCUANAUGUUGGAGGGUUUCCGCCCUACAGUGCUGCAGUUAACGCAUUAAGCACUCCGNCCUGGGGAGUACGACCGCAAGGUUGAAACUCAAAGGAAUUGACGGGGACCCGCACAAGCGGUGGAGCAUGUGGUUUAAUUCGAAGCAACGCGAAGAACCUUACCAAGUCUUGACAUCCUUUGACCACUCUAGAGAUAGAGCUUUCCCUUCGGGGACAAAAGUGACAGGUGGUGCAUGGUUGUCGUCAGCUCGUGUCGUGAGAUGUUGGGUUAAGUCCACAGCAACGAGCGCAACCCUUAUUACUAGUUGCCAGCAUUGAGUUGGGCACUCUAGUGAGACUGCCGGUGACAAACCGGAGGAAGGUGGGGAUGACGUCAAAUCAUCAUGCCCCUUAUGACUUGGGCUACACACGUGCUACAAUGGAUGGUACAACGAGCAGCGAACUCGCGAGGGUAAGCGAAUCUCUUAAAGCCAUUCUCAGUUCGGAUUGUAGGCUGCAACUCGCCUACAUGAAGCCGGAAUCGCUAGUAAUCGCGGAUCAGCACGCCGCGGUGAAUACGUUCCCGGGUCUUGUACACACCGCCCGUCACACCACGAGAGUUUGUAACACCCAAAGUCGGUGAGGUAACCUUUAUGGAGCCAGCCGCCUAAGGUGGGAUAGAUGAUUGGGGUGAAGUCGUAACAAGGUAGCACGUAGUCGGAAGGUGCGGCUGGAACACACUCACUUACAAGGGCAGAAUUCGCAGGCCAACCUAAAGGGCAAGUUCAGCCACUAUAGUGAU